This 1289-nucleotide long non-coding RNA is filed under the name Numida meleagris (helmeted guineafowl). RNAcentral describes it as "lncRNA (ENSNMEG00000008356.1)". Lineage: Eukaryota; Metazoa; Chordata; Aves; Galliformes; Numididae. The record is from RNAcentral.
CACUUUGGGGGGGGGGGGGGGCAGGAAGACAGGAGCGGGUCCUCGCAGCCCGUGAGCCAGCAGCAGUCACGGGACAAACCCUGAGCUCAACGUUUCUUUCCCUCGGGUGGACUUAAAAGCAAUGCUCUGCUCCGAGGAACCAGCGCGGCACGGGGCGAGCGCUCAGAGCUCAGGGUGCUUGAGCUGCCCUUGCUGUGCUCCGGGCUGUGCAAUGGGUCCUGCUGGGUGCUCCCAAUGCAGCACAGCUCCAGGUCCUGCCGGGUGCUCCCUCCGUGGCUGUGAUGUGUGGGAGCAGCUGCCCGAUCCCACUGCUGCCAAGUCUGCCCUCAGGCAUUCGGAGGAGGAAGGGGAGGCCGUAGCUGGCUUUCAAACACCACCCUGCCCCCCCAGCCCCCAUGAGGACCCCAGCUGUGCACCCGGCUUGGCCGCGGUGUGGCCCCGUGCGGGCAGAGGGCUCUGUGCAGUGGCAGCUGUUGGCUCUGUGCCGCCCGUCUUGCCCCUUGGAUUUCGGUUUCCUGCUGUGAAGCCGCCUCUGCUUCCGUGCAGCCCUGCAGCAGCGAGGGCCCGGCCGGGGCAGCGCCUUGGAGGUGUUAAAACUGCCAUCAUUUGGACCAACCUGGGGCCGUGCGGGAGCCAGCCCUGCUGUGGGGGAGGCCCUGGCUGAACUCCCCCAGCCCCCCCCCCCCAUUCUCGUUCCCUUUUCUUCUCCUGGAGCUUUUCAUUCACUCCCCCCGGCCUUUGCGCCCCGUGCUGAGCGGGGUGGGGGCCAUCAGGAUGCUCAUGGUCUCCCUGCUCCCCCCGCUUUCCCAGCCCUGCACGUUCCAGGAAGGGCUGAAUCCUGGGGGUGUCAGGUGAGCGGGGCCCAUGGCUGGGGCUGGGUGCUGGCUGCCAGCACAAAGAUUUACGGUGUCUGUCUGGCCGGGCUGCAGCCCCCCCCUCCCCCCACAUUUCUUCUCCCCUUCUUUUCCCCCGCCUUCCCAGCACGUUGCAGUGAAUGGAGGAGCCCUGGCUGUAACCACAGCACGCUCUGGCUUUCCCUUGCCGUCCCCACAGAGGCACGGUGCCCUGGGGAAUUCCUGCAUGGGACGGGGCAGCAGCUCCACCCCCCCAGCAGCAGCACCCUUCAUGUCUCCAUCCAUCCCCUCCCCAUAACCCUGCUUGGGCAGCGGCGGGGGGGGAUCCUGCAAAGCUCCCACCUUGUCCUUGGGGGGGCCUGGUGCUGCAGCUCGGCCUUUCUGAGCUGUGUGUGUGUGGGGGGGGGUCCUCAGGUGCAGCUGCAGAGGGGUGGG